This 482-nucleotide ribosomal RNA is filed under the name uncultured bacterium. RNAcentral's name for it is "bacterial SSU rRNA". It matches the Rfam family "Bacterial small subunit ribosomal RNA", at positions 30 to 506 of the family's 1533-position model. The record is from RNAcentral.
UUGAACGCUGGCGGCAUGCCUUACACAUGCAAGUCGAACGGCAGCACGGGAGCAAUCCUGGUGGCGAGUGGCGAACGGGUGAGUAAUGUAUCGGAACGUACCUUUCAGUGGGGGAUAACGUAGCGAAAGUUACGCUAAUACCGCAUAUUCUGUGAGCAGGAAAGCAGGGGAUCGCAAGACCUUGCGCUGAUUGAGCGGCCGAUAUCAGAUUAGCUAGUUGGUGAGGUAAAGGCUCACCAAGGCGACGAUCUGUAGCUGGUCUGAGAGGACGACCAGCCACACUGGAACUGAGACACGGUCCAGACUCCUACGGGAGGCAGCAGUGGGGAAUUUUGGACAAUGGGCGCAAGCCUGAUCCAGCCAUACCGCGUGAGUGAAGAAGGCCUUCGGGUUGUAAAGCUCUUUCAGCCGGAAAGAAAACGCAUCCCCUAAUACGGGGUGUGGAUGACGGUACCGGAAGAAGAAGCACCGGCUAACUACGU